GCCCGUACCGUAAACCGACACAGGUGGGUGGGAUGAGUAUUCUAAGGCGCGUGGAAGAACUCUCUUCAAGGAACUCUGCAAAAUAGCACCGUAUCUUCGGUAUAAGGUGUGCCUAACUUUGUGAAGGAUUUACUCCGUAAGCAUUGAAGGUUACAACAAAGAGUCCCUCCCGACUGUUUACCAAAAACACAGCACUCUGCUAACUCGUAAGAGGAUGUAUAGGGUGUGACGCCUGCCCGGUGCUCGAAGGUUAAUUGAUGACGUUAGCUCUGCGAAGCGUUUGAUCGAAGCCCGAGUAAACGGCGGCCGUAACUAUAACGGUCCUAAGGUAGCGAAAUUCCUUGUCGAUUAAAUAUCGACCUGCAUGAAUGGCGUAACGAGAUGGGAGCUGUCUCGAAGAGGGAUCCAGUGAAAUUGUAGUGGAGGUGAAAAUUCCUCCUACCCGCGGCAAGACGGAAAGACCCCGUGGACCUUUACUACAGCUUGACACUGCUAUUGGGAUAAAAAUGUGCAGGAUAGGUGGGAGGCUUUGAUCCAUAGACGCCAGUUUAUGGUGAGCCGUUGUUGAGAUACCACUCUUUUUUAUUCUGAUAGCUAACUAGCUUGAGUUAUCCUCAAGUAGGACAAUGUCUGGUGGGUAGUUUGACUGGGGCGGUCGCCUCCCAAAAUGUAACGGAGGCUUACAAAGGUUGGCUCAGAACGGUUGGAAAUCGUUCGCAGAGUAUAAAGGCAAAAGCCAGCUUAACUGCGAGACAUACACGUCAAGCAGGGACGAAAGUCGGUCUUAGUGAUCCGGUGGUUCUGUGUGGAAGGGCCAUCGCUCAAAGGAUAAAAGGUACCCCGGGGAUAACAGGCUGAUCUCCCCCAAGAGCUCACAUCGACGGGGAGGUUUGGCACCUCGAUGUCGGCUCAUCGCAUCCUGGGGCUGGAGCAGGUCCCAAGGGUAUGGCUGUUCGCCAUUUAAAGCGGUACGCGAGCUGGGUUCAGAACGUCGUGAGACAGUUCGGUCCCUAUCUGCCGUGGGCGCAAGAAGAUUGAGGAGAGUUGACCCUAGUACGAGAGGACCGGGUUGAACCGACCACUGGUGUACCAGUUAUCCUGCCAAGGGUAGCGCUGGGUAGCUAUGUCGGGAUGUGAUAACCGCUGAAAGCAUCUAAGCAGGAAGCCAACUCCAAGAUGAAUCUUCUUUUAAGAGCUCUUAUAGACUAUAAGUUUGAUAGGC
This 1222-nucleotide ribosomal RNA is filed under the name human metagenome. RNAcentral describes it as "bacterial LSU rRNA". It matches the Rfam family "Bacterial large subunit ribosomal RNA", at positions 1640 to 2861 of the family's 2925-position model. The record is from RNAcentral.